GACGAACGCUGGCGGCGUGCUUAACACAUGCAAGUCGAACGGAAAGGCCCUUCUUUUGGUGCGUGCGCGACUGGCGAGCGGGUGAGAAACACGUGAGUAACCCGCCCCUUUCUGUGUGAGAACUUCAGGUGACUCGGGCUAUUACCGUGUAUGAGCUCCUGCUGCAGGGGGUUGGUUAGAAAGUGUGGGUGGUGAUGGAUGGACUCGCGGCUUAUCAGCUUGUUGGUUGGGUGGUGGCUUACCAAGGCUUUGACGGGUAGCCGGCAUGGGAGGUUGACCGGCAACAUUGGGCCUGAGAUAGGGCCCAGACCCGUACGGGAGGCAGCGGUGGGAAAUAUUGCACAAUGGGGGGAAGCGUGUUGCAGAACCGCCCCGGGCGGAAUGCCGGCUUUCGGGUUGUAAACAGAUUUCGCAUGUACCGAACCGUUAGUGACGGUACCGGGUAAAGAAGCACCGGCUAACUACGUG
RNAcentral lists this ribosomal RNA (468 nucleotides) under uncultured bacterium. RNAcentral's name for it is "partial 16S ribosomal RNA". It matches the Rfam family "Bacterial small subunit ribosomal RNA", at positions 28 to 507 of the family's 1533-position model. The record is from RNAcentral.